AUUGAUUGUAAACCCCUUUUGAUUGGGAAGAAUACUGACGGUACCAAUCGAAUAAGCCUCGGCUAACUCCGUGCCAGCAGCCGCGGUAAUANCGGAGGAGGCAAGCGUUAUCCGGAAUUAUUGGGCGUAAAGCGUCCGUAGGUGGUUUAGUAAGUCUGCUGUUAAAGCGCGGGGCUUAACUCCGUAUCGGCAGUGGAAACUACUAGACUAGAGUGUGGUAGGGGUAGAGGGAAUUCCCAGUGUAGCGGUGAAAUGCGUAGAUAUUGGGAAGAACACCGGUGGCGAAAGCGCUCUACUGGGCCAUAACUGACACUGAUGGACGAAAGCUAGGGGAGCGAAAGGGAUUAGAUACNCCCUGUAGUC
Molecule: ribosomal RNA, 363 nt
Filed under: uncultured cyanobacterium
Lineage: Bacteria; Bacillati; Cyanobacteriota
Description: bacterial SSU rRNA
Rfam family: Bacterial small subunit ribosomal RNA
Source: RNAcentral